CCCAGGCUUUGCUGAAGUUGUAUAUCCA
This 28-nucleotide non-coding RNA is filed under the name Mus musculus (house mouse). The record is from RNAcentral. Lineage: Eukaryota; Metazoa; Chordata; Mammalia; Rodentia; Muridae.